RNAcentral lists this ribosomal RNA (565 nucleotides) under Hyperolius castaneus (Ahl's reed frog). RNAcentral describes it as "partial 16S ribosomal RNA". It matches the Rfam family "Bacterial large subunit ribosomal RNA", at positions 1811 to 2604 of the family's 2925-position model. Lineage: Eukaryota; Metazoa; Chordata; Amphibia; Anura; Hyperoliidae. The record is from RNAcentral.
AAACAUCGCCUCUUGUUAAAUUAUAAGAGGUCCUGCCUGCCCCGUGAUUUAUUUUAACGGCCGCGGUAUCUUAACCGUGCAAAGGUAGCAUAAUCAGUUGUCUCUUAAAUUGGGACUAGUAUGAACGGCACCACGAGGGUUUAACUGUCUCCCCCUUUUAAUCAAUGAAAUUAACCUUCCCGUGAAGAGCCGGGAAUAUAACUAUAAGACGAGAAGACCCCAUGGAGCUUUAAACUUAUUGUCAUUUAUUUAAUAGUACAACACACUACCAGAUAAAAGUGCCUCAUAGUUUUUGGUUGGGGCGACCCUGGAGAAAAAUUAAUCCUCCAGAUUGAAAGGAUAAUAACCCUUAUAUAAGAAUCACCAUUCAAAUAAACAAAAAUUUGACAAAACUGACCCAGAGUAACUGAUCAGUGAACCAAGUUACCCUGGGGAUAACAGCGCAAUCCAUUUCAAGAGCCCAUAUCGACAAAUGGGUUUACGACCUCGAUGUUGGAUCAGGGGAUCCUAGCAGCGCAGCCGUUGCUAAUGGUUCGUUUGUUCAACGAUUAAUGCCCUACGUGAU